Molecule: unclassified non-coding RNA, 345 nt
Filed under: soil metagenome
Description: partial contains 5.8S ribosomal RNA, internal transcribed spacer 2, and large subunit ribosomal RNA
Rfam family: 5.8S ribosomal RNA (bases 1-119)
Source: RNAcentral
GAUGAAGAACGUAGCGAAAUGCGAUACGUAAUGUGAAUUGCAAAUUCAGUGAAUCAUCGAGUCUUUGAACGCACAUUGCGCCCCCUGGUAUUCCGGGGGGCAUGCCUGUCCGAGCGUCAUUGCUGCCCUCAAGCACGGCUUGUGUGUUGGGUCCCGUCCUCCGAUCCCGGGGGACGGGCCCGAAAGGCAGCGGCGGCACCGCGUCCGGUCCUCGAGCGUAUGGGGCUUUGUCACCCGCUCUGUAGGCCCGGCCGGCGCUUGCCGAUCAACCCAAAUUUUUAUCCAGGUUGACCUCGGAUCAGGUAGGGAUACCCGCUGAACUUAAGCAUAUCAAUAAGCGGAGGA